UCAACUUUUUUGGAAAGGACAGAAAAAAGUGCAGUGGUCUCUUAAUUAUUUCCAGAGCUGUAUAUAUAUUUUUUUAAGUUUAUUAAAAUGUAUUACAGGUAACAACUUAUAGCACUUUUGGGACUUAAGUUUAUCAACUUAAAAAUGCCAUAUUUUAUUAAAAUGAACAAAAUUGAUGAGGGAAUGAUGAUGAUGUGCAGUGCAAGAAUCAUGUUUAAAAUGUCACCUUGAUCACACCUACAACAUGGGUAUUUGUGCAUGUUCAACACUCACCUUUGUUACAAUUUUCGUCAAGCUGUUUACAAACCAUUUACUGUGUAUGUUAGAUCAAUCUAACACACCACACAGUACAUACUGAAGCUUUACAUCCCAGUGCUGCAAUGCAAAUAUGCAGUAGCGGUGAAUUGGAAUGGAACGUUUUCCUGGUGUGCCAGAGGGCUAUGAUGCAGUAGGUGUGAUCGAGGCAUUGCCAUUUAAUGUCCUGAACAUUAAUUAGUUAUUCAGGUCCAUAUCAGUGAGGAUAGAAUUUGUUAUGUGUACAAAAAAAUGCACAGGACACAAAUGAAAGUUUUGGCAUAAGCUUUUAACAUUUUUAUUGAGUUUUGAUGUUUUCUCUUUAAAUUGGAUUUGUUUGUUUUUCCAGUAAAUUUUGUGUUUUUUUCAUAAUUUUAUUAUUCUUGUUUUAUUUACCUAUCUGUAAAGGAGAAGAGUUGUUCAGUUUAAUUAGCAUUCACUUUCAAACUUUCAUACUUUUUAUAAUAGAACUGUUUUAAGUCUCUUUUUUCACAAACUUUGUUAAAUUAUUACUGUUUAUUCAUCUUUUUUCUUUACAUGUUUCAAAAAUAUAAAAGGUAAAUAAUAAACAUUCCAUUGAAAUAUAUUUUAUACAGUUCUUGAUUCGUUUUUUUUAUUUUCCUGUGUUAUGACAUUAAAAUUGUAUCCAGCAUCUGUCUUUACAGCAUAAACCCCAUUCAGUGUUAUUGUAGUAACCUUCUCUUCCUCCAUCUCUGUCUUCCCUCUCUUCUGCCCCUGAUAGGAAAGUUGCAUGGCAGCACCCAGUGCCUUGUUCGCUGGCGACAAUGUAGUCAUAGCACAACAGUUGAGAGGACGAGUAGAAAUGGUAGCUGCAUUGCCGUUUUUAGUGCAAUGUAACUUUUCAAAUGUAAAAAGGUACAACACAAAUCAGCAGUCAAACCAAUAAAUCGGUCAAAAAAAGGCAGCAGAUGCUAAGAAAAAGGAAUAAAAGAAGAAAAUAAAAACAGAGAACCACAGAUAAAAUGAAUAACAAUGAUGUGCAUCCAAACAGAUACAUGUUAUACUCUUUGAAGUGACAGGCUACAUGAUGCGUCGGUCUAUGGGUGAAGAUGUAUCGAUGUUUAGGACAGGUGCACACGUAACAAUGUAAAAGAAGGGACAGACCGGUGCUAUAAUACUGGCACUGCUGAGAUCUCCCAGAUGUUUUACGUGUAUCAGUGACAAUAUCGGACUCAUGAAACUGAGCCUAGUUCACCUUCCUUUUCCUUUCAAGAGCAAUUCACAUACAUAUAGCCAAUAUAUUCCUACCAAUUCAAUCAAGCCACACAAAACAAAAUAAUGAAACAAAAGAAGGUAAAACAGCUAUAUAGAAAAAUAUUUUUUCUUUUUUUUAAUAGUUAAUUCAUUUUACUUUGCAUAUUCCCCCCGCCCCCCAGUCCUCUCACCACUGGCUGAGAGAGAAAGAGGAAGACAGAGAUUGCUGGCGAAAAGAGAGUUACUUCAUUCUGGCCAUUCACAAAUAAGUUAUAUUUUUUACUUUUUUUUCUCCCACGCAUGCAUUAGAAUUCAACUUCAAACAAUAUGUUAGAAAAACACAAGAACAGGGAUGCAAAAAGAGCUUCUUCCUCAAAAAAUGUGUGGAGGAGGGAAAGAAGGAGAGGGGGCUAGGAGACAGGGGGGAGGGAGGAAGACGGGGGGUAAGAGAGAAUACGUGACAGCGGGGUUUUCUGGCUUUACUCGGCUUCUCUCUUGAUAUGUUUCGUAUUUGGGUUUCAAGUAAAGUUAUGCAAGUGUUGAGCUGUCAUUCCUCUCAAAUGGGCGUGGCUCAAGUUCAGGAGCAGGGUCACACACUACCCCUGACACAUUAUCACUGACAUUGUGGAACCGACAACUGCGGUAGGCCAGUCAUUCACAUGUGGAGGUUGUUCAAUGGUACCAGCUCAGGAUCCACCAGUAGUACAUGAGUUGGUAAAAAUGCUUCUGAAUCAUGAUGGAAACAUGACAAAUUAAUCAAUAGCUGCUUUUCUAAAAAAGAGUUACUACUUCUUACCUGCUGUGUUUUUUUUAAAGGUUAAAAGUUAGGUUUAAAGUUACUUAACAAGUUUAGGGACAUGGCAUGGGACUGGCCCACAAAAUCAAGGGUUUGGAACAAAUUAUUGCUAUGACAAUAGUCCCUCCUCCCCCUCCAAUGUAAUGAAACAUCAAUAUUUCCAUUAUCUGUGCCUAGGCGUUCUACCAGAAGGAUGGUAUGGGGGUGUAUGAUCUGUGCCUAGGUGUUCUACCAGAAGGAUGGUGUGGGGGUGUAUGAUCUGUGCCUAGGUGUUCUACCAGAAGGAUGGUGUGGGGGUGCAUGAUCUGUGCCUAGGUGUUCUACCAGAGGGAUGGUGUGGGGGUGUAUGAUCUGUCCAUAUCUUUCACUGUUUGUGCCAGUUGUGGUCGUCCCCUUUUUUCUUCCCACUGACCUGGCACUCUAUCCUUCUCUAACCUACAGUCAUUUCCAUUGUCAGAAUGAAACGUCUUGCAGCGAGAAAUGCUUCCAUAUGUCUCUCUCAACUGAAACUUUUUGUAAUUUUGGUAACAGACACCGUGCCCCAAUAACACUUUUUAGAAAGCGAGAGGAGUUGAAUGGAAGGAGAGGGGGAUAUGUGAAACGGGGAGUCUGGUAGCAGGAUUCAAACAUAAGAUGAAUGAAGUAGAUCCAGUGAAUACAAUGGAAACUUUGAGUUCAUGUACUUCUCCCAAGUGGCAAACUCCAGGGUCCCCCCAAUCCCAUUUACUUCAGUAAACAAUGCAUCAUGCUAGAUGAAGUAGCUGCCUCUGUUUCCCCCAACCCCUUCUUUGCCCUGUUCUUGCCCUCCCACACACGACAGACCCAAUACACUGAACUCCUUUGGCACGAUGAUAUAUUGAAUUAUAAUCGGAUGCUACAAACUCUUGCAUAGGUAGAUGCUCAGUUCUGAGUACAGUUCACUCAGCAUCUCUGGAACAUCAUCAAAAUCUCUAUCAUUGUGUUACACCAAAUAAACAAACCCACAAACAAACUGUCUGAUUUUGGCAAGUGAACACAAGUGAGCACGUGAUAAAAAAGGUAACACGCAAAUGAAUGUAACCCAAAUGGAAUUUGAAACGGUAAAAAGUGACAUCCAUUGAAAAUCUCUUCUCCCCGCUGGAUUAAUAAUUAACAGCCCUGAGAUGAACCCUGCCCUGCUGGGACACUCUGCUUGAUCAGAAUGUUACCAGUAACUAGGCCAUGGCUCAGAUCGUGGCCCUCUUAUCUGGGGAUAAACCACAUCCUACACAUCACACCGGCACCCCAGGAGAGGCAGAACAAGAGGCUACUGGAGACGAGCUAAACUCUGUCGUAGGCUUAGCUAAGGGUUUGCGGUGACUGGCGUGAAAUGACCUGCACGACAACACACACAGGUUUACCGGGGCAACAUGACACAACGGUUUUCACUUGCCAAAGAAACAUGGAAGGGAAAAAGUGAAAACUGGUUUCUGUUGCUGAGGGUGUGGUAACGACGCUAUAGCAAUGCAUCCAGCCAUACUGCAGGGCAGUCAGUGGUGGUGGAACGUCAACAAGAGCUUCUGUUCAUUUACAGACACCACAACAAUUUAAACAUAUUUUGCACAGAGUGUGGUGUUAAAUUCACAUGUCUUUGAGCAGCCGUUUUCCUGGCAAUGCUGACCCCAUCUGAGAAAAUGGCGCAAAGAUGACUGCUUCUCCAGGGGCUAGGGGCGCCAGCGUGCGUAAAACAUACACGGUCAACUGUCUGCAGAGUUAGUGACCUGGAACUAGUUUCUCUCAGGGAGCGGAGGAAUGUGUUUAAUGCCAAAAUGAUACAUUAUGCACCUCCCUGUAAUAAUGAAGAUAAGACUGCAGGACAUUAUCACACAGAACUAAUGUAUCAGGUCUGAGGGAAGAAAGAGCUGUCUAUGGCCACUAAGUCCAGUGCUACAGGAGCAACCUAGCUAGCUAGGAAAAUAAAUUAAUAUUACCGGGCUACUUGAAGUAAUCAGUGCUGAUUUAUUGUGUGUCCUGGCUGAGUGUGUUCAUGGCUAACAAACUGUCUGCUAGGUAACGCUAUGCUACCUUACUAUUACCUCAUAGGGUCUACACCAGGGCCCCAGUGGUGAAGCAAACAUCUUAAGCACAAGGCUGAAAGAAAAACAAAAGCAUGGUCAUAUCCAUUUGAGCACAGUCCACAUUUCUCAUUGAGCAAGUUCAGGUAUAGUCCGUCCCCGAUCGGUCCCAUUUUCCUUUGUUCAUAUCGUAGUGAAUACCACCCUCUAAUCUAAGAACAGUCCAACUAAACAGAGUUAUGCAGACAGAUGGAACAGUGAAAAGGGGGCCUGAAUGGACAGCAGGGUGGAAGACACAGAGAACUGGCAGCAGGGGGCGCCAUUGGGGCGGUAGGACCAGAGAGUGAGCAGUAGUAGAAGAAAAAGCAGAGCGAGUAGUCAUAGUAGUAUCAGGGGAAGGUCCUCACAGUUCAUCUCUGGAAGAUUUGUGGGGUUUGUUUCUUAAGAAAACAUAGUUCAUUGAAUGUGUAUCUUGCAAUCCUAUAUAUUUUUUUCGUUAUUCCUUUUUUAUUAUCCAAAAACAAAAUAUAGAUCUCCUUUUUUAUAGAAUCCUGCUUUUUUUAUUAGUUGCAUAUAACAUAAAUCUUUUUAGUUUCAUCUUGAUUUUGUUCUUUUUUUUUUAUUCCUAGCCCUCUUUUUUGGUGGGGAGGCGGGGUGGUUAGGGCUUGCAGAAGUAGAGUCAUGCAGAAUAGUCAUGCUGGUAAACAAAGUAAUAAAAAUGCAUUUCCCAAUUUUUCCACUUCUUUUGCCGGAAUAGUUCAUCAAAGUUCACCCUCUUCACGCUCUUUUCCCGCACUUCUUGUGAACCUUUCUAAAACCCCCAGAUCUGAUCUUCCUACUUCCUAUAGAGAGGAGAAAGAUCCUUACAGUAAACUCUCUCAACAAGCAGCAGACCGGUUGUCAAGUUGACCCUUGCUGAUAGUUACCAAUCAGAUCUUUUUGAACAAGGUUGAUUCCUCAUUUGUUUGGUUUGAAGAGUCUCUCUGAUCGCCCUCUUCAUUCUUUAGUUCGGUAGGUUUCGUUCUUCAGGUAUUUUCGUUCAUGCCAUGCAGUUUGCUACGGAGGAGGCGCGAUGCUGAGAUGCAGAAGGGCAGAGGUAAAGAGAGGGAGAGAUGGAGAAAGAGAGGGCGAUGUCCUGUAUGUCCUUGUUUCCCAAGCAGUCGCUUCUGGUCACAGCGUUUGCGUUGCGGUCAUGUUCCAGUGUCUCUCUCCAUUGGUUUCCUCCUCAACUCUUCAGCACACACAAGUAUACUCAGGUUGUAUUUGGGCCUUUGUGGAUGAGUAGGUUCCUCAAGUUCAGACGGCACCCUCUUGCAUGUAACAUCAGUCAUAGUCAGUCAGUCAGUUAUUGUAUUGUCAGACACGCCUUUGUAUGAAAUGGCAAGUGGCAUGGUAUCUUAAAUGAGUCUGGUUGCUCCAUAAGCCACUGUAAUUCACCACCUUCGGAAAGUGCGUCUCUUGUGGAAGUUAAGAAAAGAGUUGUCAAUCAAAGGUGUGACUGACUGAACGUAGGUAUUGCCACCUCAGUGAACUGACUCGAGUCAGUGGACUGACACAGUGGUCGUUCAAACUCAAAGCUUUGCAUAGUUUGGCCGCCUAACAGAUAGAAAUGCUUGUGUGUCAAUUUAGCCAUUGGCAAGCACCUGGCUCUUAUUUUCAGGAGUCCCACCCACGCUGACAAUGCUGUGUAAUCUCAGAAUGCAGCUGCAGCUAGUUUGUAUAGCCUACCCCAUAUAGCCAAACUUCGGCAUAGUACUGUACUUCAAGAGCAUAUAUUAUCUUAAUGGUAUAUUGGGACGACAACCAAGUUGUGGAACGUUGUUCUACUGUCCCAUGUUCCUUUUGUUCUGUUUUAGGGAACUUUUGUGAUAUUGUUUGAUUGAUUUGGAAUUUCUUUAGCAAUGACUUAGCAUAUUACGACUGAAGUACAGUGAUAUAAGGUGUGAAUAGGGUGACAUAAGGAAUGGGUUUCAGUGUGUUUUUUUUCUCCAGGUAGUCAGAGUCAGGUUUCAUAGGGAGGGUGCAGAUUGAGCAGUCCACAGGAACAAGAGAUCAACUAAUCUCUUCCAGUCAGUUUUUCAUCCAUCCUCCUCUCAUCGUCCUUUCAGAUCUCUCUCUCUUUCUCUCUCCAACUACGUCUCCCUUCAGCCUACAGUAAAUCCAGUAGGGGGCGCUGGGUGAAUUGUGUCCUAAGGGUUGUCCCUCUUCUUGGAGAGAAAGGGUGAUUUUAGAAACUCAACACUGGAACAAAGAGAGAACAGAAACAGGGACUGUUGUCAGUGCACAUUCCAGCAGACCUAGAACAUCAACGGGCUAACCAGAUUAGAUGUUUAAAAACAUAUUGAAACAGGGUUUUUAGUUGACAUUAAUAGCAUAACAUGCUUGAAUGGGAUAUUUAAUUCAUUAUAUAUUCUCAGUAGUCAAUGGUAAAAAAAGAUAUUGUUUAUAUGACUGGAUGAGUACAACUCUUCAAAUACAAGAGCUAACUGAUCUAUAGACGACAAGAGCAAACAAAAGACCUGCUUUUGGCAAAGCACAUCUGGCAUGCAUGUACACAAAAUAGGAAAUGGCAGGAAAGCAUGUACACCUUGUACGCACACACACAAUCGCAUACACACAUACACACAGUACGCAGACACACCAACAAAAAUGCCGUGGGUGGUUUCAGUCCUUGAGGGCUGUUAAGUCCUCUGGCGUUUGUCCACCUCUUAAUUCAUCAGUUAGUCAUAGUCGAAUAGUGAGCCAUUUGAGCAAAAAUCAUUCCCACACAGGACCACAGCCCACCAGGACUGUUAGCAAAGCUAAACAGACCGAGUGCUAUAAGAACUUCAGUCAGUGUAUGCAUCCUAAAGCCUACAAAAGCACAGAAGCGACAUGGAGGAAAUAAUGAAACACUAAACAGAGCGAAGCACGGAAACACAAGACACGUGCUACACAAAGACUGUUACUACACACACAGACACACACCGCUAGAACACAGCACAAAGAGCACAGCACAGAACACAGCACACAGAGCACAGCGCAGAACACAGCACACAGAACACAGCGCAGAACACAGCACACAGAACACAUUCUUACACUGAGAAGCGACCAGCUUUGUUCCUCCUCUCAUUUAGUUUUUGUUCUUUCUUCCCCAAACUGUCCUCCAUUUCAUGGUUCUUCCUUUGUUGACAAACCUUCUUUUAAAAAAAUGUAUAUACAGUUCCUAUCCCCCCCCUCCCCUCCCCUGCAUGAAAAAAACAAUAUCUGCAACACCUGACAGUCUUUCUGUCCACUUCUAUGCUCUGGAGUCGUUUGCAAUCCACUUUAGGGAAGAUGGAGUUCACGUUAUGGUGGUGGUCAUUUAAUUUCUCCCCCAAAGUCUGUUAUUUUUGGUUUUUGUAAUGGACGCAGUAGAGAUGGCACAUCUCAAAAUAGAAAAGAAGCAACAAUUGGAGAAGGGCGAGAUGGGGUAAAACAAGGGAUGAGGACACAGAACACACAAUAUUUACAGGUAUGCACAAACUGCAGAGGAAGCAGAACAUUUCAAACCUUCUCUCUGUCCGGCUCUGUUAGACAAAAAUGUCUGGAAGCACUGAUUUCAACCAACAUAGAGAGAGAGAGAUAUAUAUAUACCUGAGUUGUGAAUGAAGCCUGAAGUAACAGGUAAAAAUGAAGAAGAGGGAAGAGUGGGAGGUGUAGUCAAGAACAGUGUGUCUAUGAUAUUACAUUAACUUGUACAUCAAUUGGCUAGGCUACAAACAUCCUAAAUUGUAUCAUCUUAAAAUCAAUCUUGCUAGUUUGGACCUACUUUUUGAAGCAUCUUUGGAACAAGUUUUUAUUUUUUACAGGUAACUACAUAUGCAUUAAAGCAAUGAUCCAAUGAUAGCAUGAUAACAUGAAAACAUGAAACAUGACAAAUGAUAGCAUGAUAACAUGAAAACAUGAACAUCAUCCACCAGCGACACCCUUAACUUCUCCACCACCAAUGACCCACAUAACAGAAUCAGAAUUCACUCAACUGAUCUGUUGACCUUUUGCUGUGUUUAAAGACAACCCUUUCCUGUCCCAACAUGGGGGAAUCAAUAGGGAAACACACAUUCUGGACUAUUUCAUGGGAGAACACUCAUUAUUGACUAUUUCCAUUCUUAUUAUAAGGACAGUGUCCAAAGUGGCCUGGGCAGUAGGGGGCCAUUUCAAAACCUAGACAUUUCAGAUGCAUCCUAAGGCUGAAAAGGUAAAUGAUGCACAUAUACGCAGCAGAAGGAGUCAGGUGUUUCCACAGCCUAGUGGUGGUCACUUUUGAACUCUAGAGAAAGUACAGUCCAUCCUUAGAGUGUUAAAGACAGAUGAGAUUUAUUUUGCUAUCUGCCAUCAUGACUCUGUCAUAAAUCUGUAAUGCGGGGGAAGAGGUUUAUUUCAAUGUGACUCUGUUUUCUUACUCCUCGUGGUCACUGAUUACCGCUACACCCCACUGUAGAUGUCCUAUAGAUGAUUUCUGGAGGGAACAAAACGGCAUACGUUGUGAGGGUUUCCCCUCCACUUAGGGCAGCAUGUUUGGGUCACUUGUAAGCUACUCAAAAGUAACUUAUGUUCCUUUAAGAAGUUAAAGCCCUGUCAUUUCAAGUGGAAGAGGGACAAUACAGGACAGGACAGAAUGGAAAAACAGAAAGGUUCAACAGAGGUUUAUGGAGUGUGUAGAAAAGUGGGUAAGAUUGGGGCUGGCUUUGGCCGAUGUGGUUGUCAAAGGCAGAAAUUGAGUUAUGGGCACUCAUGUUCCUGCCAUUGUGAAAAAAGAGACGAAGUAGAUUGUUCUUUUUCCCCAUCUAGUAUUAAUUCACAGUUACUGCUUCUUUUUGCAUAUAUCUGAUGAGCACAGGGCUCUCAGAAUAGUUCUCUGUGAAAAGAUAACAAAAAAGUAAAUGGUAAGGUAAAUAUUAUUACCAGUUAGUCUAGUUAGGUCUAUAAGAAAUAACAGCUACAAGAGACCACUACUUACCCCUUCCCUACAAUUGUAAAAAAUGGAUUUCCCAAACACCCCCCCCAACCCUGCUAGAGUAACAAUGGUCUCUUCCAUCUUUUUGCAUCAUAGCAUGCAUAUAUAAGCCCCACUCUUCUGAUAGAAAACAGUAGAGGUAAGUGCUCUUUCCCCUAAUAGCAUGCUGGUCAUCUAUAUGGAUGUGCGUAGAACACAUUCAUAUACACUUUUUAUAUACUAUAACUAUGUACACAUUCAUUAAGCUUACGAUCAAAUCUCAUGUCUUAUCAAAUCACGUUUCCUGACUAAAGAUACAGACACAUCGAUUCCUUAUUGCUUGCAAUGGAAAGCCCAUGCAGAUUGAAAUAGGUCAAAACUUUACAACUGUACAGAAUAUUUUGGACCAAUAACUGGCCUAAGAAGAAUUCUUAAAGAAAUUAAAAACAGACACCCAAAGCACUAGAUCAAGGGAAAGGAUUCUGGAGAGAUCAAGGAAGGAUGAGAGAACAUGAGAGUCAUUUGGUAGUUUGUGUUUGGGCAACAGUGUCAUAUACAAAGAUAAAGACACUAUGGGUACAAACAACUCUGGGGGCUGAGUACCAGUGUGGGCGUGGCGGGGUGAAUUCCAUUUAUAUUCUAUCAAUUCUGAAGGUGAAUAUAACAUUCAAAUCCUAAUAUUCUGUAAAAUGGUGGUAUUCAUUUGUGCCUCAAACGAAUAUUCUGCUUCACGGGCAUUAACAACAUAUUCUAGUCUGAAGUCAUUCAGGUGACAUCGAAAUGAGGGGAGUGCAAAACAGUUAUCAGCAACUGGAUGAUCUCUGACCAAUCAGAGCUCUACAGAAGCCGUUUUGACAUUUAGUUUUUCUCAUGUUCACUCUUUUCUCAUGGCUCUGGUCCAGCCCAUCCAUUUCUUGGACCUAUCAGAGGGAACCCAUCAGUUUCUAGGACCAAUCAGAAUGUUUUAGAUAAUUUAGACAAUAUAUCCAUCUCCUGGAGAUUCCAGACUCCUUGCAGAGAAGAAACAAAUGGCAGUAGCACAACAUUUGGCCAGAGCAAGGAGUCUGGGUUGCCAGGAAAAGCUCUAAAUUCAUGGACUGAGAUUCACUGCAGUCAGAACAGCCUCCACCCUAACCCUUUAGGUUCUCCCUCCCUGACAGUGCUGCAGUCAGAACAGCCUCCACCCUAACCCUUUAGGUUCUCCCUCCCUGACAGUGCUGCAGUCAGAACAGCCUCCACCCUAACCCUUUAGGUUCUCCCUCCCUGACAGUGCUGCAGUCAGAACAGCCUCCACCCUAACCCUUUAGGUUCUCCCUCCCUGACAGUGCUGCAGUCAGAACAGCCUCCACCCUAACCCUUUAGGUUCUCCCUCCCUGACAGUGCUGCAGUCAGAACAGCCUCCACCCUAACCCUUUAGGUUCUCCCUCCCUGACAGUGCUGCCUCAUUUUUAAAACACUUAACCCACAAAGGCUUCUUCUAUUCUACCCUGCUACUACUGACAUAUCAUACUCUGAUCUAAUACGCGUCACAUCUCUUCACAAUGUCAGGCUGUCCUGUGGAGGACACAGUUCUUAACCUAACCAGUCCUGAGCUUUGAUUUAUGUUAAGCUUUUGUCUCAUUGUCUUUCUCUUUUUGUGUUGCCAAGAUAGAUGACUGUGGGUACCCUAUAGUCUUUUUGUAGCUGAAUACUAACUGAGGUGCGCACAAAGGCUACUUCUAUAUGAUGCUAAUGCGAACACUAGAUAUAGAUAAUGCCCGUUCUAAGACUUUGCUACUUCUGUCUGUACACAACUCUCUGUUUCUAGUGAGAGAGGAAAGGGUGGACAAGUGAAAGAUGAUGAGGGGAAGCCAUGGGAGGAUAAAAAAUCAAUAAAUCACAUCAAUUCAACCUGACAGAUUUCAAGCAACAACUGGAAUCGACCAGUGAGAGACACAAGCAUUACCUUAAAAAUGGCAACAUUCGAUGCCAAUAAGUAUCAACAAUAAAAUCGACAUCUGAUAAAAGGAGAUAACAUUGUAAAAUACAAAAAUAAACAAUUCUGUAAAUGAACCGCUUAAAUAAAAAUAUACAAUCAUGAGUGACAAUAACAAAACAUCGACAGUGGGUAUAUAAACAUAGAAUGGUCAUAGCAUUGACAUUCAUACCCAUUUCCUUUUCAUCAAACUAUUUCAAAAGAAAAUUGAGAUUUGAAAAAGUUAGUCUCUUUCUGAUCUCUGAUAUGGAAGGAAAACAUGUAUCCUCCUUUUUUUUCUCCAGAAAACAGUGAGAAAGUAAGGAAAGAUCUGUCGUUUGGAUGAAUUGGCACUCUUGCAUCUUGGGCUGGAGGUAGAUGCAUGUCUGUGCACACAAAACCAUAUGUGUGCCACAGAUACACAGCACACAGCACAUCUCCAUAAGAUUAACUAUACAUAGAUACAAAUAUAUUUCUAUACAUUGCAUAUUUCUAUAUAUGUAUGUUGCCUUUUUUGUUCAUUUUGUCAUUGGUUUGUUGGGUUCUUCUACCAAGCGCUGUCAGUCCAUCCUCCAUUCACAGUGCCCUCUUUUAACAUGAGGACCGAUGACGGUUCAGCAGCCAGGGCAGGUAGGUGGUGG
Long non-coding RNA from Esox lucius (northern pike), 11887 nucleotides. Lineage: Eukaryota; Metazoa; Chordata; Actinopteri; Esociformes; Esocidae. The record is from Ensembl.